UGAAACAUUUUUAUGAUUAGUAUUUUUAUUGCUAUUAAAUGAUAAAACAUUAAUAGUAAUUUAUGUGUGACUAAUUUUUUUUUAAAAAAAUAUAAUUUUUUUAAAUAAGACAGAUGAUCAAAGUUGUACACACAUAUCCACGACUGCACUUAUU
RNAcentral lists this microRNA precursor (154 nucleotides) under Oryza rufipogon (brownbeard rice). RNAcentral's name for it is "MIR812 microRNA precursor family". It matches the Rfam family "MIR812 microRNA precursor family", at positions 52 to 205 of the family's 205-position model. The record is from Rfam by way of RNAcentral. Lineage: Eukaryota; Viridiplantae; Streptophyta; Magnoliopsida; Poales; Poaceae.